This 591-nucleotide small RNA is filed under the name Drosophila ananassae. RNAcentral's name for it is "GF27709". The record is from RNAcentral. Lineage: Eukaryota; Metazoa; Arthropoda; Insecta; Diptera; Drosophilidae.
CUACCCUCAUUCCUUUCCCAACUCUCGGACCAAUCGUUUCGGCUUUCCAAAUUCUAAAUUUUUUAAUUCUAAAAUUCAAGAUGCCUUGCUGCCCCCCUUGCUGUGCUCCAGCCUGCUGCGGACCCUGCUUCUGCCCCAAGCGCUAUCUCGUGGACAAGGAGAACGCUCCAUGCGUGUGGUGUGCCCCUUGCAAGGCCCACUGCUACAACACCCCUCCAAAAUGCUGUUGCUAGGGUCAGAUAAGCGGAUCCCAUAGCGAAGUUCAACUUGCGGAUUAACCUUAUUCCUGUGACCUCCCAUUCCUAUCCCCUUUUCUAUGCGCGGGUGGCUUCUAAGUGGCUCUCAGACGCGCGAUGUCAAUGCUUCCGUGCCAUGUCCUUACCGAGAUAGUUUGAUAUCGAUGGGACAUGUUGAGCAAGCAAUGUCCUUCAGUUUAAACCAAAUUGGAGCCAGUUCAAGUCAGGAAAUCUGAAGACCACUCUGUCAAAACGACCGGAGGAGGGAUGAAGGUGCCAAAUCCUGGUAGCCGGGCAUUUAAAAAUUUUAACAUUUUGAAUCCAAUUUAGGCAAUAAAAUUGUAAGCUAUCUAUA